This 415-nucleotide long non-coding RNA is filed under the name Gossypium raimondii (Peruvian cotton). RNAcentral describes it as "long non-coding RNA (GRAI_LNC007760)". Lineage: Eukaryota; Viridiplantae; Streptophyta; Magnoliopsida; Malvales; Malvaceae. The record is from RNAcentral.
AGUGGUCGCCGAUAUAUUAUUGUGACAAGUCAAAACACACUUAUCAUUAACCCCAAUUGAAUUCGAACACUUAGAAACAAGUCUAGGGCCACCAACUACUCGUUGUCAUUUCUUACCCUCAACACUAGGCAAAGGCUGGCUUCCAAAUCAUGAACCAUCAACAGCAUUCCCACCACACCCAAAACACCACCCUGUCCCCUGAAAGCAUUUCCCUUCAAAUUAAACCCCAACACUGGAUUGAUAGGACCCGAAGCAGGUUCGAAAGGCUUUGUCCAAAUACCACUGCAAAAAAUCCUAUCCGAAGAAACCCCAUCCACGAAACUCCCAGCAGCUUCCUUCCACAGCCAAACACUUUCAACAACAGUGGCCCUCCAACCUACUGCCCAUAGAGAUGCAUCCCACCCCAUAUCUGAAU